AUAAUAGUUCAUGCAUACGAGAUUCAUGCAUAGUUAAAUUACGCAUUCUCAUUUAAUUGAGAAUUUUCCCUCGAUUUAAAGUCUUACGUUAUUUUCUCGGAUUAAAGGUCGAGCGCAAGAAUAAGAGCUCGUCAAGGAGUCACUAAUCUGUAGCAAAGCUUUGCUAUCAGGUUGAGCAGCUGCCGAUGGUGAUGAAGUGACGAGCGGGACUCUUUGUCUUAUUAUGUAUUAAUGAACUCUAGGGUUACAUGUCUUCAUACAUGUAAUCAGAACCUUAUUCCGCUGCGUACUCAGAAGUUUUAUGUUAUUUUGGAUAAGUCGGAGUUAUCCGAACUUACUAGUUAUUUGAGUCUAUACGACUAAAACUCCGUUAUAUUAUAAAUAUCCCUGUUGUUAACAAUGA
Long non-coding RNA from Salvia miltiorrhiza (redroot sage), 403 nucleotides. RefSeq lists it as uncharacterized. The record is from RefSeq and is a predicted model, not a curated record. NCBI's taxonomy places the organism in Eukaryota, Viridiplantae, Streptophyta, Magnoliopsida, Lamiales, Lamiaceae. The transcript has 2 exons.